GAGAUGACUUUUUUGCUCAGAUACCCAAAUUGGGACAAUACAGAGAAGAUUAGCAUGGCCCCUAUACAAGGAUGGCAGGCAAAUUCAUGAAGCAUUCCAUAUUUUU
This is a small nuclear RNA of Myotis lucifugus (little brown bat), 106 nucleotides long. Lineage: Eukaryota; Metazoa; Chordata; Mammalia; Chiroptera; Vespertilionidae. The record is from Ensembl.